Molecule: ribosomal RNA, 425 nt
Filed under: uncultured bacterium
Lineage: Bacteria
Description: partial 16S ribosomal RNA
Rfam family: Bacterial small subunit ribosomal RNA
Source: RNAcentral
GUGGGGAAUAUUGGGCAAUGGGGGAAACCCUGACCCAGCAACGCCGCGUGAAGGAAGAAGGUUUUCGGAUCGUAAACUUCUAUCCUUGGUGAAGAUAAUGACGGUAGCCAAGAAGGAAGCCCCGGCUAACUACGUGCCAGCAGCCGCGGUAAUACGUAGGGGGCAAGCGUUGUCCGGAAUGAUUGGGCGUAAAGGGCGCGUAGGCGGCCUGGUAAGUCUGGAGUGAAAGUCCUGCUUUUAAGGUGGGAAUUGCUUUGGAUACUGUCGGGCUUGAGGGCAGGAGAGGUAAGCGGAAUUCCCGGUGUAGCGGUGAAAUGCGUAGAGAUCGGGAGGAACACCAGUGGCGAAGGCGGCUUACUGGACUGUAACUGACGCUGAGGCGCGAAAGUGUGGGGAGCAAACAGGAUUAGAUACCCGGGUAGUCC